Oncorhynchus mykiss (rainbow trout) is the source of this 1301-nucleotide non-coding RNA. The record is from RefSeq and is a predicted model, not a curated record. NCBI's taxonomy places the organism in Eukaryota, Metazoa, Chordata, Actinopteri, Salmoniformes, Salmonidae.
GUUAGUGUGAAACCUGUCGACCUCGAUGCUAGACCCUCCUCUUCCUGUCACAAUAUGGGUUUCAGAGAAAAGGACCUCGAGCUGAAAACUUUCCACUCGAUCGAACCAAUCGCUGCUCGUAUGUCCUUUCAUGGUAAAGUACAUCUAGUCAUGAACACGGAAAUACGCAGCAAAGACCUUGUUACUCAAAGACCCAGCUACUCUCUGACAGUCACCAUCAGACCAUCAGACCCCCAGAUGGACAGGCUGUGUGUCGCUCUGAUUACAUUCUUAUGUGCUGUUUCCUCCAGUCAGGAUGGGAUCCCUGCAGCAGAGGUGGAGCUGAGAGUCAGACCAGGAGACAACAUCACUCUCUACUGUGACUGUAUCAUAACUACUGGAGUUCACAUUAUCUGGUAUAGGAACUGUUCUCACAAGUACCAGCCUCCUCUAGUUAUUUCAACUAAGUUUGUUAGUUACAUCUCUCCCCCUGGAUAUAAUGUGUUGUGGAACCCCUCUAACAAGUCCUAUGAUCUACUGAUUGAGAACAUCACUGAAUCUGACCUGGGACUCUACUACUGUGGGACUGUGGAGAAGAAGAUAGUGGAUGAUGGAGGUAAAGGAGGAAUUUUACAGAAAGAGUUGUACCACUAUGGAAACAUCACCACUAGGAUUUCACUUGGUAAGAACAGUUAUUAUUCUGUCUUUAUCUUCUGUCUGUAUCUUUGGUGUUAUUAAUAUUGUAUUAGUAUUGGUGUGUCUGGGUUCCUUGAACGAGAGGGAGAGGUGGAAGGAAAGCCAAAGAAAAUGUAUCUUAUUUUAGAUUAAUAAUUCAAGGUUGAUUAAGGGCAUAAAAUGUCCCCUCAAAUGAAUGUUUAAACAUCCAAGAGUAUAUAUAUUAUAUAUAUAUUAUUGAGAAGGUCUUGAUUGUUUCUAAUUGUGUAGUUCUGUUUCUGUUUAAUGUUGUGUCCAGACGUCGGUCCUCCUGAGUCCUCCUCCUCCUCCCCUCCUCCUGUAGACUGUGGACUGUGUUGGAUGUUGCUGUUCAGUCUGUGUCCUGUGUCUGCUCUCCUCUCCUCUCUCCUCUCCUUUGCCUGUGUCUACUCCUUCUGCAGAACCACAGCUCCAUCUGAGACUCAGGUUCCUCUGAACAGGACGACCACCAGGGGAAGUGACAGCAGAGAGCAGACUACAGUCAGAUACCUACGCAUCCAUUAAAUCAUCCAGCAUUAUGAGACCGAAACCAUCCAUCAAUACCAGCAGAGUGAGACCCAUUACCAGCCAUCAAUACCAGCAGAGAUUGAGACCUAUACCAUCCAUCA